GACCUCAAAUCAGGUAGGACUACCCGCUGAACUUAAGCAUAUCAAUAAGCGGAGGAAAAGAAACUAACAAGGAUUCCCCUAGUAACUGCGAGUGAAGCGGGAAAAGCUCAAAUUUAAAAUCUGGCAGUCUUUGAUUGUCCGAGUUGUAAUCUAGAGAAGUGUUAUCCGCGUUGGACCGUGUACAAGUCUCCUGGAAUGGAGCGUCAUAGAGGGUGAGAAUCCCGUCUUUGACACGGACUACCAGUGCUUUGUGAUGCGCUCUCAAAGAGUCGAGUUGUUUGGGAAUGCAGCUCAAAAUGGGUGGUAAAUUCCAUCUAAAGCUAAAUAUUGGCGAGAGACCGAUAGCGAACAAGUACCGUGAGGGAAAGAUGAAAAGAACUUUGGAAAGAGAGUUAAACAGUACGUGAAAUUGCUGAAAGGGAAACGCUUGAAGUCAGUCGCGUUGUCCGGGGAUCAACCUUGCUUUUGCUGGGUGUACUUUCCGGUUGACGGGUCAGCAUCAAUUUUGACCGUUGGAUAAAGGGUAAGGGAAUGUGGCAUCUUCGGAUGUGUUAUAGCCCUUGCUCGCAUACAACGAUUGGGAUUGAGGAACUCAGUACGCCGCAAGGCCGGGAAUUUAUUCUACGUUCGUACUUAGGAUGCUGGCAUAAUGGCUUUAAUCGACCCGUCUUGAAACACGGACCAAGGAGUCUAACAUGCCUGCGAGUGUUUGGGUGGAAAACCCGAGCGCGUAAUGAAAGUGAAAGUUGAGAUCCCUGUCGUGGGGAGCAUCGACGCCCGGACCAGACCUUUUGUGACGGAUCUGCGGUAGAGCAUGUAUGUUGGGACCCGAAAGAUGGUGAACUAUGCCUGAAUAGGGUGAAGCCAGAGGAAACUCUGGUGGAGGCUCGUAGCGAUUCUGACGUGCAAAUCGAUCGUCAAAUUUGGGUAUAGGGGCGAAAGACUAAUCGAACCAUCUAGUAGCUGGUUCCU
Molecule: ribosomal RNA, 972 nt
Filed under: Deconica xeroderma
Lineage: Eukaryota; Fungi; Basidiomycota; Agaricomycetes; Agaricales; Kuehneromycetaceae
Description: LSU rRNA
Rfam family: Eukaryotic large subunit ribosomal RNA
Source: RNAcentral